RNAcentral lists this ribosomal RNA (1562 nucleotides) under Vibrio sp. OY15. RNAcentral describes it as "bacterial SSU rRNA". It matches the Rfam family "Bacterial small subunit ribosomal RNA". Lineage: Bacteria; Pseudomonadati; Pseudomonadota; Gammaproteobacteria; Vibrionales; Vibrionaceae. The record is from RNAcentral.
AAAUUGAAGAGUUUGAUCAUGGCUCAGAUUGAACGCUGGCGGCAGGCCUGACACAUGCAAGUCGAGCGGAAACGAGUUAUCUGAACCUUCGGGGAACGAUAACGGCGUCGAGCGGCGGACGGGUGAGUAAUGCCUAGGAAAUUGCCCUGAUGUGGGGGAUAACCAUUGGAAACGAUGGCUAAUACCGCAUGAUGCCUACGGGCCAAAGAGGGGGACCUUCGGGCCUCUCGCGUCAGGAUAUGCCUAGGUGGGAUUAGCUAGUUGGUGAGGUAAGGGCUCACCAAGGCGACGAUCCCUAGCUGGUCUGAGAGGAUGAUCAGCCACACUGGAACUGAGACACGGUCCAGACUCCUACGGGAGGCAGCAGUGGGGAAUAUUGCACAAUGGGCGCAAGCCUGAUGCAGCCAUGCCGCGUGUGUGAAGAAGGCCUUCGGGUUGUAAAGCACUUUCAGUCGUGAGGAAGGUAGUGUAGUUAAUAGCUGCAUUAUUUGACGUUAGCGACAGAAGAAGCACCGGCUAACUCCGUGCCAGCAGCCGCGGUAAUACGGAGGGUGCGAGCGUUAAUCGGAAUUACUGGGCGUAAAGCGCAUGCAGGUGGUUUGUUAAGUCAGAUGUGAAAGCCCGGGGCUCAACCUCGGAAUAGCAUUUGAAACUGGCAGACUAGAGUACUGUAGAGGGGGGUAGAAUUUCAGGUGUAGCGGUGAAAUGCGUAGAGAUCUGAAGGAAUACCGGUGGCGAAGGCGGCCCCCUGGACAGAUACUGACACUCAGAUGCGAAAGCGUGGGGAGCAAACAGGAUUAGAUACCCUGGUAGUCCACGCCGUAAACGAUGUCUACUUGGAGGUUGUGGCCUUGAGCCGUGGCUUUCGGAGCUAACGCGUUAAGUAGACCGCCUGGGGAGUACGGUCGCAAGAUUAAAACUCAAAUGAAUUGACGGGGGCCCGCACAAGCGGUGGAGCAUGUGGUUUAAUUCGAUGCAACGCGAAGAACCUUACCUACUCUUGACAUCCAGAGAACUUUCCAGAGAUGGAUUGGUGCCUUCGGGAACUCUGAGACAGGUGCUGCAUGGCUGUCGUCAGCUCGUGUUGUGAAAUGUUGGGUUAAGUCCCGCAACGAGCGCAACCCUUAUCCUUGUUUGCCAGCGAGUAAUGUCGGGAACUCCAGGGAGACUGCCGGUGAUAAACCGGAGGAAGGUGGGGACGACGUCAAGUCAUCAUGGCCCUUACGAGUAGGGCUACACACGUGCUACAAUGGCGCAUACAGAGGGCGGCCAACUUGCGAAAGUGAGCGAAUCCCAAAAAGUGCGUCGUAGUCCGGAUUGGAGUCUGCAACUCGACUCCAUGAAGUCGGAAUCGCUAGUAAUCGUGGAUCAGAAUGCCACGGUGAAUACGUUCCCGGGCCUUGUACACACCGCCCGUCACACCAUGGGAGUGGGCUGCAAAAGAAGUAGGUAGUUUAACCUUCGGGGGGACGCUUACCACUUUGUGGUUCAUGACUGGGGUGAAGUCGUAACAAGGUAGCGCUAGGGGAACCUGGCGCUGGAUCACCUCCUAUUACGAGGAU